Molecule: ribosomal RNA, 452 nt
Filed under: uncultured bacterium
Lineage: Bacteria
Description: bacterial SSU rRNA
Rfam family: Bacterial small subunit ribosomal RNA
Source: RNAcentral
CAAGCGGUGGAUUAUGUUCUUUAAUUCGAUGAUAACCGAAGAACCUUACCAGGGAUUGACAUCCCAAGAAUUUUGUCGAAAGACGAGAGUGCUUUAUUGAACUUGGUGACAGGUGAUGCAUGGCCGUCGUCAGCUCGUGUCGUGAGAUGUUUGGUUAAGUCCAUCAACGAGCGCAACCCUUGUGAAUAGUUGUAUUUUUCUAUUCAGACUGCCCCGGCAACGGGGAGGAAGGAGGGGAUGAUGUCAGGUCAGUAUUUCCCUUACGCCCUGGGCUAGAAACGUAAUACAAUGGCCAGUACAAUGCGCAGCGAAGCCGCGAGGUGAAGCAAAUCGCAUCAAAACUGGUCCCAGUUCGGAUUGGAGGCUGAAACUCGCCUCCAUGAAGUUGGAAUCGCUAGUAAUCGCAGAUCAGCAAGCUGCGGUGAAUACGUUCCCGGGCUCUUGUACACACC